This is a non-coding RNA of Erinaceus europaeus (western European hedgehog), 69 nucleotides long. The record is from Ensembl. NCBI's taxonomy places the organism in Eukaryota, Metazoa, Chordata, Mammalia, Eulipotyphla, Erinaceidae.
AGGUAAUUAGUUUAAAUUAAAAUAAAUGAUUUCGACUCAUUAGACUAUGAUUAAUAUCAUAAUUACCAA